RNAcentral lists this ribosomal RNA (492 nucleotides) under uncultured bacterium. Its description in RNAcentral is "partial 16S ribosomal RNA". It matches the Rfam family "Bacterial small subunit ribosomal RNA", at positions 29 to 507 of the family's 1533-position model. The record is from RNAcentral.
AGUGAACGCUGGCGGUAGGCCUAACACAUGCAAGUCGAACGGCAGCACAGUAAGCGCUUGCUCUUACGGUUGGCGAGUGGCGGGCGGGUGAGGAAUGCAUCGGCAUCUACUUUUUCGUGGGGGAUAACGUAGGGAAACUUACGCUAAUACCGCAUACGACCUACGGGUGAAAGCAGGGGAUCUUCGGACCUUGCGCGAUUGUAUGAGCCGAUGUCGGAUUAGCUAGUUGGUGGGGUAAAGGCCCACCAAGGCGACGAUCCGUAGCUGAUCUGAGAGGAUGAUCAGCCACACUGGAACUGAGACACGGUCCAGACUCCUACGGGAGGCAGCAGUGGGGAAUAUUGGACAAUGGGCGCAAGCCUGACCCAGCCAUACCGCGUGAGUGAAGAAGGCCUUCGGGUCGUAAAGCCCUGUUGUUGGGAAAGAAAAGCAGCAGGUUAAUACCCCGCUGUUCUGACGGUACCUAAAGAAUAAGCACCGGCUAACUUCGUG